This 752-nucleotide ribosomal RNA is filed under the name uncultured Segetibacter sp. Its description in RNAcentral is "bacterial SSU rRNA". It matches the Rfam family "Bacterial small subunit ribosomal RNA", at positions 96 to 847 of the family's 1533-position model. The record is from RNAcentral. Lineage: Bacteria; Pseudomonadati; Bacteroidota; Chitinophagia; Chitinophagales; Chitinophagaceae.
CGGCAAACGGGUGCGGAACACGUACAGAACCUUCCUCUCAAGCGGGGGAUAGCCCGGAGAAAUCCGGAUUAAUACCCCAUAGUAAUAUUUAGUGGCAUCAUUAGAUAUUUAAAGAUUUAUCACUUAGAGAUGGCUGUGCGGCUGAUUAGGUAGUUGGUGCAGGUGACGGCUCACCAAGCCAUCGAUCAGUAACUGGUGUGAGAGCACGACCAGUCACACGGGCACUGAGACACGGGCCCGACUCCUACGGGAGGCAGCAGUAAGGAAUAUUGGUCAAUGGAGGCAACUCUGAACCAGCCAUGCCGCGUGAAGGAUGAAGGCCCUCUGGGUUGUAAACUUCUUUUAUCUGGGAAGAAAUGCAUUCUUUAUAGAGUGUUUGACGGUACCAGAGGAAUAAGCACCGGCUAACUCCGUGCCAGCAGCCGCGGUAAUACGGAGGGUGCAAGCGUUAUCCGGAUUCACUGGGUUUAAAGGGUGCGUAGGUGGGAAUGUAAGUCAGUGGUGAAAUCUCCGUGCUUAACAUGGAAACUGCCAUUGAUACUAUGUUUCUUGAAUUUUCUGGAGGUCAGCGGAAUAUGUCAUGUAGCGGUGAAAUGCUUAGAUAUGACAUAGAACACCAAUUGCGAAGGCAGCUGGCUACAGCGAUAUUGACACUGAGGCACGAAAGCGUGGGGAUCAAACAGGAUUAGAUACCCUGGUAGUCCACGCCCUAAACGAUGGAUACUCGACAUUUGUGAUAGACAAUAAGUGUC